CAGUGGGAGCCUUUUAUGGCAACUUAGAAAAACUGCACUCCUGUACUCCUUCCACAUCAACAGAGAAUGGGCUUGAGAACAGGUUAAUAUCCUUCUCAAUGGCAGCGAAAUCUUGAAUAGUGUAGCCCCAAUGGGAGUGUUUCAGAAGCAGAGCGAUUUGCCUGUCUGAUUUUAUGGACUUGCUCAGACUGUGUUGAUUUGGUAUUUUUUCCUCGAUUUUUGUGCUUAUACCACGGGUAAGUCGGUUAAGUACGUAGUUAAAUUGUUUCUUUUUUGUCUGUUUUAAUUGUUUAUUGUUGAUAUACAGUGUGUUUUAUUUUGAAAAUUGACCGGAUUCUCUAUGCCGAUUCUGUGUCUGACUUCCUGCCCGGUUCGAUUUGCUCUGUGUAGCUUGACGCAGUUUCAGUCAAAAAUAGACUAGCAGCGUAUUCUCCGCUGAGCAGAGCGGAGAGCCGCUUCUGAAACGCGCUGCGGAGCAUCUAGUGGAAUCACAAGCAUUAUCUAGAAUGGCCGUGAUCAGCUUUGGCGGCCGCAUCGCAGCCGUGCCUGGUGGAAUCAAGUAGUUAUGUUGCCUUGGCAUACCCAGGUAGAGGGCUACGCACAUACUCAUAGAACUGGAGUUACAUCCAGUAACGCCGUCUCCGGUAACACAAAGAUGUAGAAGGUAACGUUCUGAGCAAAGCAUGCCAAUUUCUCUGUUGUUGGCUGCAAUAACCAACACAAAAGUCUUCAUCUACUCCCACCAUCCGAGGAAGUGAAGACCCAGUGGAUUAACUUCAUUUUUGAUGGAAAUGUCCCCACACCAACUAGAAAACUCUCCCAUGUGUGCGCUAAGUUAACCAUUUUACUUUGGACUGCUAUCUCAAUGAGGGCCUGUACAAAGCAGGAUUCACUUCAAAGUUGAAUCUCAAGGAUGGAUCGAUACCGACUUCAAACUUGGAAGCUCCUAUGAACAAUGCAGCAUGGAGGACGGGGUGGAAGAGGAAGUAGUGUGGAGCUUCGGGAACCACAGACUGGACAAGAGGAACAAGCAGCAUUAAGCCAGAGACCUACAGGCAGAGAUUCUGCUUCACAGAUGAAGAACUCCCAAAGACCUGUACGUAAGACGGAAGGAGCUGUAUGGGCAGUGGAUCCAACCAAAAGGUAAAACUGUUAAGGAUGUUGGUGAAAUUAUUAUCUUGAAGCAGUAUUUGUGAAUGCUAUCCCCUAAGCUCCAGGUAUGGAUCAGGAAACAUGAUACCUCAUCAGCUGCAGAGGCUGCUUUGCUUCGCUGGCUGAUGUGUUUGUGGCUGCCAGGAAAAAACAACAACCAUGGAGCAACACCACCUGGAAGGCUACAAAAGACACCUGCAGGUCCACAUCCUCUCAACACCAUCCCAUAAGGGAGAAUCAGCCAGCAAAUACACCAACACAGCAGUCUAGCAAAGUGCCAAUUUGUGGGUCACACAAAAUCAAUGUGCCCAAAGAACCCUCCUAAGCUCACUCAAAUGUGUGCUGUGCCUCGUCAAAAUUACCUUAAAUCAAAUAAUGAUCAAUCCAUAAAGAUGACAAUUGUCAAAUUCUUGAGACCAUCCCCAUCUGCUGUGUGCACAGGGAUAAGAAGCCUCACCCCACUGCUGACAUUUACACUGAAGUGCAAGGGCUACUCGUUGACAAUUUUCCUUUUUCAGUAGUGUUGGGUAGUGACCUGCCAGUCUUAUUUGAUUUGUUACAUCAACCUCAAAGUUUUAAUUUUGCAGUAACCAGAGACCAAGCCAAGCUGCUAGAUGAGCCUUCUGUAACCCUCAGUGCCCUGCCUUUUUAUGAUGCAGACCUAAGCUGCGUUUCAACCGCAGGAACUUUCCCCAGGGACUAGGAACCUUUGGAGGAACUCUGCGUUUCCACAGCAGGACCCAGGGUCUAACUUAAAUACCGGGAACAUUUUUUACCCCCCCAAAAGGUCCCAGUCUGUUUACUCCUGCGACCACCAGCAGCCCUCAUACCAUGUCUCAACACUGUAUUU
Siniperca chuatsi (mandarin fish) is the source of this 2002-nucleotide long non-coding RNA. RefSeq lists it as uncharacterized. The transcript has 3 exons. NCBI's taxonomy places the organism in Eukaryota, Metazoa, Chordata, Actinopteri, Centrarchiformes, Sinipercidae. The record is from RefSeq and is a predicted model, not a curated record.